UACGUAGGGUGCGGGCGUUGUCCGGAAUUAUUGGGCGUAAAGAGCUCGUAGGCGGUCUGUCGCGUCGAAUGUGAAAACCCGGGGCUCAACUCCGGGCUUGCAUUCGAUACGGGCAGGCUAGAGUUCGGUAGGGGAGUCUGGAAUUCCUGGUGUAGCGGUGAAAUGCGCAGAUAUCAGGAGGAACACCGAUGGCGAAGGCAGGUCUCUGGGCCACUACUGACGCUGAGAAGCGAAAGCAUGGGGAGCGAACAGG
RNAcentral lists this ribosomal RNA (253 nucleotides) under uncultured bacterium. RNAcentral's name for it is "partial 16S ribosomal RNA". It matches the Rfam family "Bacterial small subunit ribosomal RNA", at positions 524 to 776 of the family's 1533-position model. The record is from RNAcentral.